UCUGUUUCCCCAUCUGUUCACAGAGGAAAUGCAGAUUGAUGGGUUUUGUCCGAUGAUAUUGCUUCAGACUAAAAUUAGCAACUUAAUCAGCAGCCGGAAAAGGAGUAACUUCGCUGAUCACGUGUGUUCUUAUGUAAUAUGAUGAUAAGCACGUUUUCAAAGUUUUCCUCACGUGCUUUUCAUGUUUUUUUUUUUGUUUUUUUUGUUUUUUCUGUCAUCACAAGCUCAUGAUUUUGGGUCGGGAUGGAUCCGAAGCCUGUCCCCGGAACUCUGGGCACAAAGCGGAUACGAACCUUUUAUGGGGUGCUAGUCCAUUACAGGUCCAUACUUGUAAAUGCAAUGACUAGACAGGGACAGGAGGAUGAUGUUAUCACCAGCUGAGCUGAAGAAGAAGAAUAAAAAAGAAGAGCUGUAAACACUUAAUAUUUGGGGUCUCAGAAGUUUGGUGGACAUGACCCCUGGACCUGUUUAAAAUGCAUUGGCACCCUGUCCAGGGUGUACCCCGCCUUGUGCCCCAUGCUCCCUGGGAUAGGCUCCAGGUUUCCCCGUGUCCCUGAAAUGGAUAAGCGGUAUAGAAGAUGGAUGGAUGGAUGGAUGGAUGGAUGGUUCUCUACAGCAUGUGCCUAAGACUUUUCCACAGUACUGUAUAUCUAGAGCUCAUAUGCUUGUAAUUAGCUGAUAUUCUAGCAGGCUUUAACUAGCUAUCAAAUAAAGUGCAAUGUUAUGUUUGGUUUUAUUUGACACCUAUUUUUGUACACUGUCCCAAACAAUACGUAAUGGAAGUCUUAUUCACAACAGUUACUUGUCAAAAACAACUAGGUCACGUGAGCAUUUAUGAUUCAGCCAGUAAGGGGUGAGCGGGCAGGUCAAACUGGUUAAGCAUUUACCCAGAUUAUUUCAUUAUAGGACAUAAGCUGACUUUCUUUUGUUUUUAUAAUUGUGUGUCGUCAGAGGCAGCUGUAACAUACGUCACCUCGCUCAGGUGCGAACACAGCCUUCUCAUGAUAUUAAUGCUUCCUUGUUCUCAAAGCAUCCAAACCCAAGCCUUUAUUCCCCACAUAUGCAUUUCAAUGACCACGCUCUUUGAGCAUCAUAUCUGACUGCACUCUCUUGCGUACAUGGCAGUAAAUACCACCCCACUUUUGGCAUGUCCUAUGAGAUCCCGGUCUUGAUGCCCCUCCUGUUCGUAUCUGUAUUCGUAUUCAUUUAGAACACAUUAUGUCUUCAUUCUGAAUAAUAUGUUCAUAAAUGCGUAUGUAUAUGCUAUAUUUAUGUGUUUAUUCGGAUGUUUUAAUUCCUGUUCUGUUUCUCUAUUAGCCACUCCUACAUAUUUUAAAAGACUAGUUGGUAUAGGUUUUGGGUAAAAUUAAAGGAAGACAAUGUAAGCAGGACGAAGAGAGAAACAGUUAUCUUACCAUCGGACUCUUAGGCUUGAACAUUGUGUUUUAAGACAUGUAAGCUUUCACAAGUGAAACUGGAGCUUUAGUUAUCAGGUGUUUAAGAACAUAGGCUUCAGGAAUUAAAAUGAUUUUUUCCGUCUGUUUUUGUGUAUUUUGUGUGUGUGUUUGAAUGAAGCUGCAUUUGUUUAUGGAU
Ictalurus punctatus (channel catfish) is the source of this 1593-nucleotide long non-coding RNA. RefSeq lists it as uncharacterized. The transcript has 5 exons. Lineage: Eukaryota; Metazoa; Chordata; Actinopteri; Siluriformes; Ictaluridae. The record is from RefSeq and is a predicted model, not a curated record.